Molecule: unclassified non-coding RNA, 331 nt
Filed under: fungal sp.
Lineage: Eukaryota; Fungi
Description: partial internal transcribed spacer region
Rfam family: Eukaryotic small subunit ribosomal RNA (bases 1-46)
Source: RNAcentral
AAGUCGUAACAAGGUUUCCGCAGGUGAACCUGCGGAAGGAUCAUUAACACGUAUCCAAACGUUAAACCCCCCGCUUCGUUGGAAAGUAGCAGGCACAGCAGGUAAAUCAUCGCCGAACAGUUUUGAUUCCGUCUACCUGGUGUUGUUCGAGUUUGGUGGCCGCACAAUUAAGCGCAGGCCCGUUUUCAUGCAAAGGGGUGAUCAGGGGGGCUCGCGCCCUGCGGCCAGGUCGCUGGCCGUGAUGGCCUCUAGCGAACGUUACUGCGCACUUGCAGACAUUAACAAGCAGAGGGAUGCAAGGCCUCCUCUCACACUGGAUAUCUUGGUUCUC